GUAGGGGUGGCAACGAGGUCUCAUUGCUGCAGAUCGGGUUAAAAACACCAUCAAUCCGAUUCGUACCUAUUUAUUAAAUAAAUAAAAAAUUUAGAUUCAAAUUUAAUUUAUUUAUUAAACAAAAAAUUUUGUCUGACUUGUCUAAUCCAUUUAUUAAACAUGUCAAGUUAGGUUAAAUGGAUUGAACAAGUUAACUAAAUUUUUAACUGAUUAAGUAGAUUAAUAGAGAAAAU
Molecule: long non-coding RNA, 233 nt
Filed under: Elaeis guineensis (African oil palm)
Lineage: Eukaryota; Viridiplantae; Streptophyta; Magnoliopsida; Arecales; Arecaceae
Description: long non-coding RNA (EGUI_LNC026763)
Source: RNAcentral